This 619-nucleotide long non-coding RNA is filed under the name Equus caballus (horse). RNAcentral describes it as "lncRNA (ENSECAG00000057772.1)". Lineage: Eukaryota; Metazoa; Chordata; Mammalia; Perissodactyla; Equidae. The record is from RNAcentral.
GGCCUACACAGGGUCAGGAUCAUCAAUGUCACUGUCUUCUACCCCCACAUCUUGUCCCACUGGAAGGUCUGAGGGGCAAUAAUAUGCAUUGUGCUGUCAUCCCCUGUCAUAGCAAUGCUUUCUUCUGGAAUACCUCCUGAAGGACCUGCCUGAAGCUCUUCUCCAGGAGGUGCCACUCUUUUCAGAAAUGUGUCCAUGCUACGUGUUCCUGUUCCAGUUCCAACCACUCCUCAUCAGUCAGUUCCUCAGGAACCACCUCUAGGAGCUCCUCAAUGUCAUCCUCAUCCACACCCAGGGUGGGUCUCAACCAAGAACCUAGAAGAGUAGAGGGACUUCCUCCCCCAGGAUCAGCCAAUUCCUAGAGAUAGGAAAACACUGGCCAGCAAGUGCAACUCUCCUAUACAAAGUAAUCAAUCAAGAGCUCACACUCCAGCCAUCUCUUUUUUUGGUUCUUGCACUGUGGGCCACUAUUCCCCUGCCUUAAUCACACCAGAGCCAGGAACCAAACAACUAAGGACAGCCCCUCUACCCCAGAGCCCACUGAAAUUAUUCAAACCGGCCAAUUCUAAACCUGCUUUCCCUGUCUUGCCCAUUACUUCCUGUGGAAACCACAAUAAAG